Adelges cooleyi (spruce gall adelgid) is the source of this 228-nucleotide long non-coding RNA. RefSeq lists it as uncharacterized. The record is from RefSeq and is a predicted model, not a curated record. NCBI's taxonomy places the organism in Eukaryota, Metazoa, Arthropoda, Insecta, Hemiptera, Adelgidae. The transcript is spliced from 6 exons.
GAUUCAUACGAAAAAGAUGCCAUGGCUAUCUAUAAAUUAACUGACGAGACGGCUUUUAUAAUGUUUGUAGAAAAAGAUGGCAUAAAUCCGCAAAAUAAAGAUCCAAAGGUAGAUCCAGGUUUCGUUAAUCAAGAAGCGGUGUUUAUUCUAAAACAAUCUAAAGAUCAUAAAGCCUAUAUGGAUGUUAUCGUUAAGCUUCUAGCAAAGGGGAUAAAAGAAGCUAACAGG